This is a non-coding RNA of Potamilus streckersoni, 75 nucleotides long. Lineage: Eukaryota; Metazoa; Mollusca; Bivalvia; Unionida; Unionidae. The record is from the annotation of a GenBank genome assembly.
UGACAUGUGGCCGAAGUGGUUAGAGCGUCCGUCUCAAAUGCGGGGGGUCGCGGGUUCGAAAUCCGACUGAGUCAU